This 562-nucleotide ribosomal RNA is filed under the name uncultured bacterium. RNAcentral's name for it is "partial 16S ribosomal RNA". It matches the Rfam family "Bacterial small subunit ribosomal RNA", at positions 338 to 916 of the family's 1533-position model. The record is from RNAcentral.
CCUACGGGAGGCAGCAGUGGGGAAUUUUGCGCAAUGGGGGGAACCUUGACGCAGCGACGCCGCGUGGGUGAUGAAUGCCUUCGGGUUGUAAAGCCCUGUUGGGGGGGAAGAUAAUGACGGUACCCCCUGAGGAAGCCCCGGCUAACUACGUGCCAGCAGCCGCGGUAAGACGUAGGGGGCGAGCGUUGUCCGGAAUUACUGGGCGUAGAGGGCGUGUAGGCGGCUUUUCAAGUCGGCUGUGAAAUUCCCCGGCUUAACCGGGGGGGUGCAGUCGAAACUGAUUGGCUUGAGUGCAGGAGAGGGUGGUGGAAUUCCCGGUGUAGCGGUGACAUGCGUAGAUAUCGGGAGGAACACCGGUGGCGAAGGCGACCUCCUGGUCUGUUACUGACGCUGAGGCGCGAAAGCCGGGGGAGCAAACAGGAUUAGAUACCCUGGUAGUCCCGGCCGUAAACUCUGGGUACUAGGUGUAGGGGGCUUCGAUGCCUUCUGUGCCGUAGUUAACGCAUUAAGUACCCCGCCUGGGGAGUACGAUCGCAAGGUUGAAACUCAAAUGAAUUGACGG